This 245-nucleotide ribosomal RNA is filed under the name uncultured bacterium. RNAcentral's name for it is "partial small subunit ribosomal RNA". It matches the Rfam family "Bacterial small subunit ribosomal RNA", at positions 26 to 285 of the family's 1533-position model. The record is from RNAcentral.
AGAAUCAACGCUGGCGGCGUGCCUAACACAUGCAAGUCGAACGAGAAAGUGGAGCAAUCCAUGAGUAAAGUGGCGCACGGGUGAGCAACACGUGACUAACCUACCCUUGAGUGGGGGAUAACCUAGAGAAAUCUGGGCUAAUACCGCAUAAUACCUUCGGGUCAAAGGAGCAAUUCGCUUUAGGAGGGGGUCGCGGCCGAUUAGUUAGUUGGCGGGGUAAUGGCCCACCAAGACUGUGAUCGGUA